GACGUAGGGGGCGAGCGUUGUCCGGAUUUAUUGGGCGUAAAGCGUGCGUAGGCGGCUGCGCAAGUCGGGUGUGAAACCCCGGGGCUCAACCCCGGAACUGCAUCCGAUACUGCGUGGCUAGAGGUAGGUAGGGGAGAUCGGAAUUCCUGGUGUAGCGGUGAAAUGCGUAGAGAUGCGGAGGAACACCAGUGGCGAAAGCGGCCCGCUGGCCCGCUCCUGACGCUCAGACGCGAAAGCUCGGGGAGCGAACGGG
RNAcentral lists this ribosomal RNA (253 nucleotides) under uncultured bacterium. RNAcentral's name for it is "partial 16S ribosomal RNA". It matches the Rfam family "Bacterial small subunit ribosomal RNA", at positions 524 to 776 of the family's 1533-position model. The record is from RNAcentral.